AGUGAACGCUGGCGGUAGGCCUAACACAUGCAAGUCGAACGGCAGCACAGUAAGAGCUUGCUCUUACGGGUGGCGAGUGGCGGACGGGUGAGGAAUACAUCGGAAUCUACUUUUUCGUGGGGGAUAACGUAGGGAAACUUACGCUAAUACCGCAUACGACCUACGGGUGAAAGCAGGGGACCUUCGGACCUUGCGCGAUUGAAUGAGCCGAUGUCGGAUUAGCUAGUUGGCGGGGUAAAGGCCCACCAAGGCGACGAUCCGUAGCUGGUCUGAGAGGAUGAUCAGCCACACUGGAACUGAGACACGGUCCAGACUCCUACGGGAGGCAGCAGUGGGGAAUAUUGGACAAUGGGCGCAAGCCUGAUCCAGCCAUACCGCGUGGGUGAAGAAGGACUUCGGGUUGUAAAGCCCUUUUGUUGGGAAAGAAAAGCAGCAGGUUAAUACCCCGCUGUUCUGACGGUACCCAAAGAAUAAGCACCGGCUAACUUCGUG
This 492-nucleotide ribosomal RNA is filed under the name uncultured bacterium. RNAcentral's name for it is "partial 16S ribosomal RNA". It matches the Rfam family "Bacterial small subunit ribosomal RNA", at positions 29 to 507 of the family's 1533-position model. The record is from RNAcentral.